CCCACUAUAGUUUAUUAAAAUAUCGAAGUGCAAAUUCGAAGUUGAAAUAUAAUUUCUAGUGAGU
This 64-nucleotide transfer RNA is filed under the name Tricula hortensis. Its description in RNAcentral is "tRNA-Cys". Lineage: Eukaryota; Metazoa; Mollusca; Gastropoda; Littorinimorpha; Pomatiopsidae. The record is from RNAcentral.